AGAGUUUGAUCCUGGCUCAGGACGAACGCUGGCGGUGUGCCUCACACAUGCAAGUCGAACGGGGUAGCAAUACCCAGUGGCGGACGGGUGAGUAACGCGUGGGAAUCUGCCUUUAGAUGGGGGAUAGCAAACCGAAAGGUUUAUUAAUACCGCAUAUGUAUGUAUCUCGACAGAGGUAUUUAUGAAAGGAGCAAUCCGUCUGAAGAUGAGCCCGCGUCCGAUUAGCUAGUUGGUAAGGUAAAGGCUUACCAAGGCGACGAUCGGUAGGUGGUCUGAGAGGAUGAUCACCCACAAUGGGACUGAGACACGGCCCAUACUCCUACGGGAGGCAGCAGUGGGGAAUUUUGUGCAAUGGGCGAAAGCCUGACACAGCGACACCGCGUGAGCGAAGAAGCCCUUUGGGGUGUAAAGCUCUGUCGGCUGGAACGAAAAAAAUGACGGUACCAGCAAAGGAAGCAUCGGCUAACUACGUGCCAGCAGCCGCGGUAAGACGUAGGAUGCAAGCGUUGUCCGGAUUUAUUGGGCGUAAAGAGUUCGUAGGCGGUCUGUUAAGUCUGAUGUUAAAGAUCGGGGCUCAACCCCGGGAGUGCAUUGGAUACUGGCAGGCUGGAGUGCGGUAGAGGCGAGUGGAAUUCCCAGUGUAGCGGUGAAAUGCGUAGAUAUUGGGAAGAACACCAGUGGCGUAGGCGACUCGCUGGGCCGUAACUGACGCUGAGGAACGAAAGCCAGGGGAGCGAAUGGGAUUAGAUACCCUAGUAGUCC
RNAcentral lists this ribosomal RNA (762 nucleotides) under uncultured bacterium. RNAcentral's name for it is "bacterial SSU rRNA". It matches the Rfam family "Bacterial small subunit ribosomal RNA", at positions 8 to 796 of the family's 1533-position model. The record is from RNAcentral.